RNAcentral lists this ribosomal RNA (487 nucleotides) under uncultured bacterium. Its description in RNAcentral is "bacterial SSU rRNA". It matches the Rfam family "Bacterial small subunit ribosomal RNA", at positions 501 to 987 of the family's 1533-position model. The record is from RNAcentral.
CUACGUGCCAGCAGCCGCGGUAAUACGUAGGGUGCGAGCGUUAAUCGGAAUUACUGGGCGUAAAGCGAGCGCAGACGGUUACUUAAGCAGGAUGUGAAAUCCCCGGGCUCAACCUGGGAACUGCGUUCUGAACUGGGUGACUAGAGUGUGUCAGAGGGAGGUAGAAUUCCACGUGUAGCAGUGAAAUGCGUAGAGAUGUGGAGGAAUACCGAUGGCGAAGGCAGCCUCCUGGGAUAACACUGACGUUCAUGCUCGAAAGCGUGGGUAGCAAACAGGAUUAGAUACCCUGGUAGUCCACGCCCUAAACGAUGUCAAUUGGCUGUUGGGCAACUUGAUUGCUUAGUAGCGUAGCUAACGCGUGAAAUUGACCGCCUGGGGAGUACGGUCGCAAGAUUAAAACACAAAGGAAUUGACGGGGACCCGCACAAGCGGUGGAUGAUGUGGAUUAAUUCGAUGCAACGCGAAGAACCUUACCUGGUCUUGACAU